UAUGCAUAAAUAAACAAUUCGGUAAUCUCUACUAUAAUUGAAAUCUUCUUCAAGUCACAUUCUCUUUCAAGAUCAACGGCUCACAAAACACCAACUAGGAAUCCAACGUCUGAAAUUAAGAUGUUAGAAGCCGCAUCCAACUAUCCUGAGUCCCACGCCGCCCGCGCCAACUCUGCCCGCAAACCCUCACGCGUGCGCUCCGCGACGAGGUUUCGAAUCCACCAGACCGCGUCGUUUCUAUUUUCUCCAAGAAAAAAAAGAAACAUCGUCCUCUCCUCUCCCCUCCCCACCGCCGCACCGCUGUGUCUUCGCCGCCCGUGCCACCCUACCGCCUAGCCGCACGUGAGAAACAAGACCACCGUUGGCGCGACCUCCCCUUCUCCAUGGCCGGCGACUAGGAGGAUGGGGCAUUGCUGAAGGACGCUCCUGCCCUCCUCCAUCCCCAGCGCUUCCUAGUAGUCCAGCCCCUUGACACCCUAACCCAAAUCCUCUAAUUUCUUUGGUUGCCUCCAAUCCAUCGCCAGGUAGCGUGGAGCCGCGCUCGCCUGCUCGCCCCAUGACGCGCGGCGGCGCCCUCGCUGGGGCCAGACGCGUCGCCGUCUCUGCGUGCGGGUCCUCAGCCGCGCGCCGCUCCCACUCGUUCCUGGUGCUCAAGCGGAUCGACCUCUCCGCCUACGACUCACUUGAUGACGCCUCCUCACCGUGGUCGUCAACAUCCUCCGCAACGUGUGCCUCGCGCGGGCAAACGGGGUCGGCUGGUGUGGCCUCGAGGCCUUUGUACAGUCCACCGGUGCACCUGGUGUGCAGGGCUUCUUCAUCACCUACGACGGUGCCCGCGAGCGCCAUUCCACCGGCGAGGGGCUCUCCCUCCUUUUGACUCUGUAAGCUGCUACCCACUAUUUUGCUUCUCCGUCAUUGGCCCCCGUGUACUGUGGCCAUUCCUUGUGAUGCACGCUCGCUAGGUGUUUGUCAUAUUUCCCCCGCCUGCCUGGUCUGGUUGAGGGCAGUGUGAAUGGCAGCGGAUUUGUCACCGGUCUAGCUUGUGUUUUCCUCACGAUGAGUCCGUGUUGUCGCUUAUUAAUCCCAUUGCUUGUCAUCAGGUGUGUGUGCGAGUACAUGCUUUGCUCGGUGUUGCUCUAGCAACACAUAUAUAUUGCAUGUUUUGCUGUGCACCUUUUGCGUAAACUGGCCAAAAACUUGAAAUAUUGCAUGUUUUAUUGAAAAUAUAUAUAUAUAUUUAUAUAUCAGUAAGUUAUUCAAAAGAAAAGAUGUUUCAAAAUACAGAAUAAAAAAGAGAUCUGCUCAACAAUCAGCAGCUUGGUGCUACUUGUCUCGCUGGUUAUCUCUGGUGACAUUGACACUGUUAUUUCAAAUCCUACAGAUAAUAUCAUUUCAUCCCCGUACAACCAAAAACCUGAAAAUAUCGUUCAUGUAAGUAUGUAGUUAUAAGUUUCAAUCCUAAGAAAUCAUUGUUGUCAAACUGCCUAAGAAAUCAUUAUUGUCAAACAACACCAAGUCAGAGACGAUGCUCCUGCAUAGGUCAGCAGGGAGAUCCCUUGACAACAUGUCCAGUGCUGUUCUCAUCGAGAAACACAGUCCUACAUCAAGUCUACAACAGUGCUGAAAAAUAAUGGAGUGCCUCAACCUGCCCUUCCCACAAGUAACCAUCCUCCUCAGGUUCAGUUGGCCGCCAUGGUGCAAGAGCAGCCACCCCGAGUCUGAUGAUAUCACAGGCAAUCCUGGACAAGAUUCUUUUAAACAUUUCAGUAAAAAUCAAAUCAAAUGGUUAUUUGAGUUGUAAAUUGUUCGUGUCAUCAUGUGACUGACCAAUACUGGAAUUAUGAUUUAACAGGGAGUUAUGUGGCAAUGAUAGACAUUUUUAGAUGCCGAUGCAAAUCAGAUUGGGAAAAAAUAUAAAACAGAGUGGGAGAAUUUUCAAAAGCUGAUGCAAAUCAAGAUGAGAAAAUAGAUAGAAUAGAGUCAGAGAUUUUUGUCACAACAAAGAAAUCCUUCCUUGAUGACGAUAUUGACUUUGCCAUUCCUCAAGUAUGAGGAGUUCUACGAGAGGGAAUUCUGUUUAGGUUGGGUUUGAGUUAAGAGUUGAGUAAGAUAUUCGCCCCUAAAUUUCUCCAAUCAUCAUGUAUUAUUGCUCUGAGAGUUAUUGGUCAACAUACUUAUUGUAUCUCAGGAAUGCGAUAAUAUAUUGGUUAAUGGAACCUGUACCCUUUGAAUUUUAAGGUGAAGAAGGGCUUUAGCAGUAAUUCUGGUUCAGUAAUGGAGGCAAUAUAUUCCCUGUCAAGAUUGUUUUGAUA
Molecule: long non-coding RNA, 2312 nt
Organism: Sorghum bicolor (sorghum)
Lineage: Eukaryota; Viridiplantae; Streptophyta; Magnoliopsida; Poales; Poaceae
Exons: 4
Source: RefSeq, a predicted model, not a curated record